Molecule: long non-coding RNA, 688 nt
Organism: Musa acuminata AAA Group (dessert banana)
Lineage: Eukaryota; Viridiplantae; Streptophyta; Magnoliopsida; Zingiberales; Musaceae
Exons: 2
Source: RefSeq, a predicted model, not a curated record
GAUAUGCAUAUCCUUUGUCCAAAACUCUUCAUAGUAAAACUUUUAGGGCUUUAAACUUGAGGAUGUAUCAUAUGGAACCCUUGACAAAAGUUUAUAUGGGUUAUCGAGAUGGUAUAUCUGCAGGAAAGGAAGCUUCUGCCCAAGAGGGCUUCAACAUUGGGUUUAAGCAAUCUGCAAGCAGUGGUUACAAAUGGGGAAUUGUUAGAGGCAUCACAAGUGCAUUUGUAAACCUCCCAGAUCAAUUCAAAGAAAAGUUAGUUAAGAAGCUUGAAGACAGAUGCACGUUUCAAAGUCUUUACAAGCCCGUUCAAGAGAUUUCCACGGACGAUGCUCUGAGAAUGUAUCACUUUCAACUACAACAAGAAAAUAAACAAUCUCAUCAAAGAUCAAAAGCGACAGUAUCAUCGGCAAUCGAAGAUUUUGACUGCAAUAAGUUAGACUUCUUUUUCAAGGAGCUUAUGUUACUUGUAAGUGAGUCUUCUGAAAUCAAAGCAAGUGUUGAUGUUGUAAAAGGAGAGGAAGAAGAAUGACCUUGAUGUUGAAGUACUUGGAGGGAUCGUUCAAAUUCACUUACGUCUGAAUUUUCUGGACAGAUUGUAAUUUUUUGAUGGCCUCAGAUUGCAAUGAAAAGAACUGAACCAUUGCUCCAUUGCAGCAUAAUAUAUUUUGAGAUUUUGCUUCAGAAAAA